Molecule: ribosomal RNA, 74 nt
Filed under: Pantoea ananatis
Lineage: Bacteria; Pseudomonadati; Pseudomonadota; Gammaproteobacteria; Enterobacterales; Erwiniaceae
Also listed under: 4 other names
Description: partial 23S ribosomal RNA
Source: RNAcentral
GGGUUGUGAGGUUAAGCGACUAAGCGUACACGGUGGAUGCCCUGGCAGUCAGAGGCGAUGAAGGGCGUGCUAAU